AUAAAAAGGAUACUGUACUGGUACAUUAUACGUUUUCAUUUAAAAUAUAGCUUUCUUUUUAAAAGUGUUUACUGUGCACCAAGUUGGGGCCAAAGCCACUGAUUUAUAUUUUCAUUCCUCUGUCUCUUUAAAUCUGGAAGUUUAGGCCCAGGUCCCCAGAACAGCUUUGGAGAUCAGGAAGUGUUUUGCUUCAGGGGUUUUGGCUUCCUGUAACUCUUCCAUAUUGAGCUGUCCCUUCUUCGACUUUGCAGGCUGCUGAUCUAUAAAGAGAAGGAAAGAGGAUGGUAAAAGAAUUGCAGCUCUGAUGAUUUAGUUUGUGAGUAUUGCAGGAUAUGAGCAUAGAAUUACAAGUUCCUGCCUGCUUUGGAUGCAACUGACCUGUGAGAUGGUACCUAGCUUGUAUGACGCAGUUGGAACAUCUGGAAGGUAUACAAGAUAGAUGUGUAAUCCCUUAUCAUUAGAAACUGGGAGGAUCUGGAGCCACUUACUUAAGAGAAGUGUAGUUCGCAUCUGAAAUGUAGUUCCACACCACCACAGAAUCACUGCUCUUGCCUCAUACUAAACAACAGCAUAAUUUGCGCUGAUGCAACAUGCAGAUUUAUUUAAAAUAAAUACAAAUUAUUUUGGCUUCUGAGUUUUAGCAGAGUUUUUGAAGUUUCCUUAAAGUUAUUAUGAUCAGAUGAAGCUAAUUACAGAGUACUUUACAUAUACUCAUCUGGUAAAUGUCAUACAACAGACGGAGUCAAAGGGAAGGUAUGUGGGAUUUUUUGGUCUUUUCUUUUUCAUUCUCAUUAAUGUUCCUGCUCAAUUCAAAGCAUGCACUUCUGACAUAGUUUCUUUUCCUUGGAAACCAUUUCCCAUUCUAAAGCCAGUUUCUCCAGUUCAUAAUUAUCUGGAGAACUUCUCAAAAGUGGGAUGAAUAUCAUAUUUCCAUUACUGUGUAUGUGGCCCAAGAAACUUGUCUGGCACUGUAAAAGCACCAUGUUUAGAACACAAGUAUCAAAGCCUGCACAUAUCUACUUGUUAAAAAAAUUGUAGCUCUCUUUUGCCACUCUUAAUUCCAGAGGAAGGUGGAAGGGCCUGGGGUCUUUAGUCAGGAAGCCACUAAGCUACUGCACCCAUUCUCCAGCUAACGCUCUCAAACAAACUUAUAUCUCACCUGUACUCUUUGUCCCUUAAGGAAACUCUGUGAACUGAUUAGAAAAUAUAAAUGGAGAAGGAGAAAUGUCUGUUGGAUGUUGCCUUUGCUCUAUGUUACUUUAAGGGAGUCUGUUCGCCUCCUUUUUUAUAUACCAUUUUACCUUCUGUUUUAAGUCUUUUAACUUGAUCACUGACUCUGUAAAUUUGAUUUUAGAGCUAAUCAGCAUUUACUGUUUAACCAGAGGUUUUUAGUUUUAGGAAAUGCAGUUUUAUUGUGUGUUUUGCUAUUUCAGAUGGGCAAAGAAAUGGUCUUUUCAAACAGUUUACUCAGAACUGUGCUAGCGUGAUUUCCAGUUGUAUUGUAUACAUUAGCAGUGAUAAGGGCAUAGACUAAUCUAUGGGGUCAUCUUUUCCUACUGUAGUAAAAUAGUUUUAGCAUGUGUAAAGUAGCUUUAGUUGUUUCAUACAAAAAAUGCAGACAGUCAUAUAGGUGAGCAUAUAUAUAUAUAUAUAUAUAGUUAAGCUUCUUGGAAAAUUAUAUUUCUAUUGAAUAUGAGCUUAUUAAAAAAACCUCUGAAUUUAUAAUUCUGUCUCAAGUUUUGUACCACAAGAUAUGAACACAGUUUUUUACUUUGCAUAGAUGAGAUAAAUUUUCAUAUCAACUUAUUUGAAACAAACAUUGACAAUGUCUUGUGCAAGAUACACAUUCUCCUGCCUCAUGUUGAAUAGCUUCAGAACAUGGCCAGUUGUUCAGGAAAAACACUACUCAAGAAGGGAAACUUAAAAAAAAAUAUACUGUGUCUUUAUAAAACAAAGUGCCUACUUCUGGUUAUGCUAAAUAGCGAGGGGCCUCAUCUGAGUCAGUGUGAAAACAAGAUUCUCUUAGUAAUUAUGAAACAAUCAUGUUUAGCAUAUUUUAUCAGAAUUUGCAUAAAAGAAACUUCUCUUCACAAAAUUGAGCUUGGAUUUUUUAAAAAUCUGUUUAAGAAGUGAUUCUAAUAGCUAUGCCGUCAUGCUUUUAUUUACAGCAUACAAGGAUAUUAAGAAAGAGGGUCGAGACCAAUCUGGAGUGAAUUUCCAUCACCCAUAGUGGUUUUUGCUAAGAAAACAGGCUUUAAAUAUAAACAACAUCUGUAUUUUUCAUGUUGUCUUUCUAAAUAAUGGUUCUGACAGCUUGCUCUCAUUGUAAUGCAACAGUUUGAUUCCUUCAUCUGCCAGUCAUGCAGGGCUUUGUGCAGAAUGCAGAGUUCCAACAUAUUUAAACAUACAUCUCUCAAAACUUUUGAUAUCUUUUCCCCCCCGACAGGAUUUCAAAAGGUAGAUGACUGUGAAAUGCACUUUCAUUCUCUGUGUUAGUGCUUUAACAUUAGUCUGACUUUAAUAGGCUGGGAUGAUUUCAGCUUAUAAAUCUUCAACUGGAGGAUAAAGUUCAAGUAGAUAAAAUCAAACAGAUGUUGGUGGGAGGAUUUCUUCAUGACCCAUAAAAGUGCUAUCAUCAAAGCCUAGAAUCAUUUGUUUUGAAUUAUUACAUUGUUAUCAAAAGGACUGUAGCAGUCUGUUUGUUGAGAAAUUGGAUCUGUUUAUCUGAAAACAGAACAAAGAUGCCAUGCUAAGAUGUCCCUGGGAAAGUGUGGGUUAGCUGAUGGCUGACACGGUAGGGUAGCUGUGAGACAUUUUGACUGACAGCUGUCAGCAUAACUGCGAGACCUGGAAGCUUUUGUAGACUAUAUUUUUCCUAAAAAUGGCAUAAAAUGCAGUAUUAUGCAUUAUCGAUGCCUCUCUAAAAAGCAAACUUUCUUAAAAAAAGAAAAGAGGGUUUUAUAUACAAUUGGUAGAUGUGAAAUAAAGUUACCUUUUAAUAAUAAUAUUCAACCCUUUUUAAAUGGUUUUUCAGAUAAGACAUUUCAUGCUUUUAUUUCAACUCCAGCACACUGUUUAAACGGAAACAAGUUACACCUUUGUAAGUGAAAAAAUGUGGAUUUUUUAUUGCCCAUCACAAAGACUUUGCUCUUUCACUCCUGAUUCAUAAAACAAAAAUUAGCGUAUAAGUGGCACAUGUACCAAUGUUUGAAUGGAUCUAAGGCCAGCUCUCAGAUUUAAGUGGAAAUCAUGUAAAAGCAUGAGGACAUAACUCUCCUAAAAUCCUACAGCUACUACAUAUGUUCAUGUGUAGGAAAAAAAAGUGUGAUUGAAACUUGGCCUCUGACAAAGACUUUUAGGGCAUUCUCUUUCCGUUACAGGAGUGCUGAAUGGGAAUUAAAACAGGCCAGAAAUUCACUCUGUCCCAUUGUAAUAAUGAUGAAAUCUUGUCCCAAAGCCCUUUACAGACAUGUGAUACUAGCUGCCACUUUAGCUGCAUGGGGAUUCCCAAGUCAGACUGCUUUGUGGUGGUUUUCUUCACCACUGUACGAUGCCAGUUCAGGAAAGUGUCACAACCCAAGGGUGUGAUUUUUUGUUUGUGUGUGCUUCGGCACUGCUAAAUUAUUUUCCCGCUGUUUGUAGCUUUCUUUGCAGGGUGCAUUUCUUCGGUGCAGCACAGAAAUGCACAUUGCAAGGAGUUCCCGCCAUUUGUAUUUAGAUUCGUGCCCCACUAUUGGUCAGUUUUAAAUUAUUCCUACGUGGCAGCUAGCGAUUGGCUUGCUAGCCGUAUAAGAGGCUUGAGUGGUUUCCGCCCAAGUUGGAGGACUCCACGAACAUCAGGAGGAGGAGACUUCACGUUUUGUGAAGAUCUCUAAGUGCUGCGGAGCCUAUUGGACCCAGCGUGAAUAUCAAGAAGGCAUCAGGGGUCUGAUCACCCUCUAGCCUCUCCCCGUCACCAAGCGAAAUCCUCGACGUACCCUUUCCCUGCACGCACAAGUUCCAUGGAGCCUAACAAACUUCGUGUGAAUGAAUUUUGAGUGAAUCCAGAGCUCUGUCCGAGUCCUUAAACUGGGACUGAAGCGAAGUAUUCCUGGAAGUUUUCCAGCCUGCACCGCGACCAUCUACGGUGUAAGUAAACAAUCUUAAACAACCA
Alligator mississippiensis (American alligator) is the source of this 4153-nucleotide long non-coding RNA. RefSeq lists it as uncharacterized. The transcript has 3 exons. The record is from RefSeq and is a predicted model, not a curated record. NCBI's taxonomy places the organism in Eukaryota, Metazoa, Chordata, Crocodylia, Alligatoridae.